Molecule: ribosomal RNA, 292 nt
Filed under: uncultured bacterium
Lineage: Bacteria
Description: partial 16S ribosomal RNA
Rfam family: Bacterial small subunit ribosomal RNA
Source: RNAcentral
UAUACCCUACGGGGCGCAGCAGUGGGGGAUAUUGGACAAUGGGGGGAACCCUGAUCCAGCGACGCCGCGUGAGUGAAGAAGUAUUUCGGUAUGUAAAGCUCUGUCAGCAGGGAAGAAAGCAAUGACGGUACCUGACCAAGAAGCCCCGGCUAACUACGUGCCAGCAGCCGCGGUAAUACGUAGGGGGCAAGCGUUAUCCGGAAUUACUGGGUGUAAAGGGAGCGUAGACGGCUGUGCAAGUCUGGAGUGAAAGGCGGGGGCCAAACCCCGGGGCGGAUCGGGAAAUGGAAGG